GACGAACGCUGGCGGCGUGCUUAACACAUGCAAGUCGAACGGAAAGGCCCUGCUUUUGUGGGGUGCUCGAGUGGCGAACGGGUGAGUAACACGUGAGUAACCUGCCCUGGACUUUGGGAUAACUGCAGGAAACUGGGGCUAAUACCGGAUAGGAGCUCCUGCUGCAGGGGGGGGGUUGGAAAGUUUCGGCGGUUGGGGAUGGACUCGCGGCUUAUCAGCUUGUUGGUGGGGUAGUGGCUUACCAAGGCUUUGACGGGUAGCCGGCCUGAGAGGGUGACCGGCCACAUUGGGACUGAGAUACGGCCCAGACUCCUACGGGAGGCAGCAGUGGGGAAUAUUGCACAAUGGGCGGACGCCUGAUGCAGCAACGCCGCGUGCGGGAUGACGGCCUUCGGGUUGUAAACCGCUUUCGCCUGUGACGAAGCGUGAGUGACGGUAAUGGGUAAAGAAGCACCGGCUAACUACGUG
RNAcentral lists this ribosomal RNA (468 nucleotides) under uncultured bacterium. RNAcentral's name for it is "partial 16S ribosomal RNA". It matches the Rfam family "Bacterial small subunit ribosomal RNA", at positions 28 to 507 of the family's 1533-position model. The record is from RNAcentral.